AUUUCAUAAACAUCAUAAAGUCAAAGCAGUGACUACUUUGUAUUAUUGGCCAGGUACGGGCUGACCAAAAGAGGAGCCUUCGCUCUCAACUUUUGGCAAUUACCACAGUUUCUGCUAACAUUGAACACAUGAGGAAUCUUCUUGUGCAUCAUGCGGAUCCCAUUAGCUUGUCCACAGACCUAUGAGCACAAUUACAGCUGUGACAUGGCUUCUGGUGGACAAAGCAAUAUGAGCUGAAUAAAGAAGAUGGUGGUGCAGACAAGGAGUUUCAGGUAGGUCUACUACCUUUAGCUUCACCCUCUUCAUCAUCGCACACAGAGCAAGGAUAUCACCUUACCAGGGCUUAAAAGUUCACGUCCUACAAUACUAACCUGGACUUAAAUGUUACUGAUCACUGCAAGCUUAGCAGGACUAUGGUACCCAU
This is a non-coding RNA of Pelobates cultripes (western spadefoot toad), 424 nucleotides long. The record is from the annotation of a GenBank genome assembly. Lineage: Eukaryota; Metazoa; Chordata; Amphibia; Anura; Pelobatidae.